GAAAGUUUUUAACUUUAGUGGCGAACGGGUGCGUAAUACGUGAGAAUCUGCCCUUAGGAGAAGAAUAACUGCUGGAAACGGCUGCUAAAUCUUCAUAUGCCGAGAGGUGAAAUAGUUUAGGCUGCCUAAGGAUGAGCUCACGCCUGAUUAGCUAGUUGGUAAGGUAACGGCUUACCAAGGCCACGAUCAGUAGCUGGUUUGAGAGAACGAUCAGCCACACUGGGACUGAGACACGGCCCAGACUCCUCCGGGAGGCAGCAGUGAGGAAUUUUCCGCAAUGGGCGAAAGCCUGACGGAGCAAUACCGCGUGAGGGAUGAAGGAUUUUGGUCUGUAAACCUCUUUUCUCAAGAAAGAAGUUCUGACGGUACUUGAGGAAUAAGCAUCGGCUAACUCCGUGCCAGCAGCCGCGGUAAUACGGGGGAUGCAAGCGUUAUCCGGAAUCAUUGGGCGUAAAGCGCCUGUAGGUUGUUUACAAAGUCUGUUGUUAAAGACUAGGGCUUAACCCUAGAAAAGCAAUGGAAACUUGUAGACUAGAGUAUGGCAGGGGUAGAGGGAAUUUCUAGUGUAGCGGUGAAAUGCGUAGAUAUUAGAAAGAACACCAGUGGCGAAAGCGCUCUACUGGACCAUUACUGACACUCAGAGGCGAAAGCUAGGGUAGCAAAAGGGAUUAGAUACCCCUGUAGUCCUAGCCGUAAACGAUGGAUACUAGAUGUUGUGCAUAGUACAGUAUCGUAGCUAACGCGUUAAGUAUCCCGCCUGGGGAGUACGCUCGCAAGGGUGAAACUCAAAGGAAUUGACGGGGGCCCGCACAAGCGGUGGAGCAUGUGGUUUAAUUCGAUGCAACGCGAAGAACCUUACCAGGGCUUGACAUACUACAAAUUCUUUUGAGAAAGAGAAGUGCCUUCGGGAAUGUAGAUACAGGUGGUGCAUGGCUGUCGUCAGCUCGUGUCGUGAGAUGUUGGGUUAAGUCCCGCAACGAGCGCAACCCUUAUUUUUAGUUACCAAUUCCGUUGGGUUUUU
This 1021-nucleotide ribosomal RNA is filed under the name uncultured bacterium. RNAcentral's name for it is "bacterial SSU rRNA". It matches the Rfam family "Bacterial small subunit ribosomal RNA", at positions 72 to 1141 of the family's 1533-position model. The record is from RNAcentral.